GAACUUUGACCUUUGCAACGGCACAUUCAGUGUCUCCUCUUUGAAAGGAGGGAUCGAGCAGCGUUCACUCACUCUGCACUCCCAUCGAAACCACAGGCUCCAGCUCUCUGUGCUAUCUGAGAGAAUAUAACCAUGUGGAAAGUCUAGUCUUCAUGUGGAACAUCUGUUACGAAGAAAUUCUACUUGGAAAGCUUGUCUGCUCUAUUAACCCAUCCCUGUUGCUCACUUGGAAGAAGAGGGCCUUCACUUUCCACUGUAAGAAGAAGGUCUUCUGUUGCUCUGAACGCUUCUGUUUAGAGACCUUUCUUCACUGUCCCCAAGGUUCUCAGAUUCCUCUUUCGCAUUAACUAGCAUAUGCUACAGUGAUCGAAGGACUGAAGUGUGAUGAACAAUCAACAGUACAGGUUCUGACAGUGAACCGUAGAGCAGCACAUGCUAGAGCUCCGGCCUACUCUUCAGAUGCUCUGGUUUUAUGUUCAUAGUGCUCAACAGUUAUGGAAACCUAAAUUAGAUUUUAUGUGCUUGUGUUCAUGGCUACAUUCAUAACGGAGAUAGUGGAAAUAACCCAAGUGUUCAUAGAAAUUGAGAAGCAGAACACGGUGCAUACAGUUUCAUGUUGGUCAGCUUUACCAAAGAGGGGCAAUCUGAUGCAGGCUGCAACAUCGACCAACCUGAAAGACAUGGCUGCAUGGAAUAAGUCCGAUGAGAAGUGUUAAACAUCACCCGCAUUGCUUGCAUUCAUGCAUAUGUCGAAGAUGUCACGAAUAUGAAAAACAUCUAGGACAG
Molecule: long non-coding RNA, 786 nt
Filed under: Mus musculus (house mouse)
Lineage: Eukaryota; Metazoa; Chordata; Mammalia; Rodentia; Muridae
Description: predicted gene 20619, transcript variant 2 (Gm20619)
Source: RNAcentral